This 482-nucleotide ribosomal RNA is filed under the name uncultured bacterium. RNAcentral describes it as "partial 16S ribosomal RNA". It matches the Rfam family "Bacterial small subunit ribosomal RNA", at positions 30 to 507 of the family's 1533-position model. The record is from RNAcentral.
AUUGAACGCUGGCGGCAUGCCUUACACAUGCAAAUCGAACGGUAACGGGCCUUCGGGUGCCGACGAGUGGCGAACGGGUGAGUAAUACAUCGGAACGUGCCCGAUCGUGGGGGAUAACGAGGCGAAAGCUUUGCUAAUACCGCAUACGAUCUACGGAUGAAAGCAGGGGACCGCAAGGCCUUGCGCGGACGGAGCGGCCGAUGGCAGAUUAGGUAGUUGGUGGGAUAAAAGCUUACCAAGCCGACGAUCUGUAGCUGGUCUGAGAGGAUGAUCAGCCACACUGGGACUGAGACACGGCCCAGACUCCUACGGGAGGCAGCAGUGGGGAAUUUUGGACAAAGGGCGCAAGCCUGAUCCAGCCAUGCCGCGUGCAGGAUGAAGGCCUUCGGGUUGCAAACUGAUUUUGUACGGAACGAAAAGCCUUCUUUUAAUACAGGAGGGUCAUGACGGUACCGUAAGAAUAAGCACCGGCUAACUACGUG